Molecule: ribosomal RNA, 252 nt
Filed under: uncultured bacterium
Lineage: Bacteria
Description: partial 16S ribosomal RNA
Rfam family: Bacterial small subunit ribosomal RNA
Source: RNAcentral
UACGUAGGUGGCAAGCGUUGUCCGGAAUUAUUGGGCGUAAAGCGCGCGCAGGCGGUUAUGUAAGUCUGAUGUUAAAGCCCGGGGCUCAACCUCGGUUCGCAUUGGAAACUGCGUAACUUGAGUGCAGAAGAGGAAAGUGGUAUUCCACGUGUAGCGGUGAAAUGCGUAGAUAUGUGGAGGAACACCAGUGGCGAAGGCGACUUUCUGGUCUGUAACUGACGCUGAGGCGCGAAAGCGUGGGGAGCGAACCGG